This 441-nucleotide ribosomal RNA is filed under the name uncultured Glaciimonas sp. RNAcentral's name for it is "bacterial SSU rRNA". It matches the Rfam family "Bacterial small subunit ribosomal RNA", at positions 8 to 447 of the family's 1533-position model. Lineage: Bacteria; Pseudomonadati; Pseudomonadota; Betaproteobacteria; Burkholderiales; Oxalobacteraceae. The record is from RNAcentral.
AGAGUUUGAUCCUGGCUCAGAUUGAACGCUGGCGGCAUGCCUUACACAUGCAAGUCGAACGGCAGCACGGGGGCAACCCUGGUGGCGAGUGGCGAACGGGUGAGUAAUAUAUCGGAACGUGCCCUGGAGUGGGGGAUAACUAGUCGAAAGAUUAGCUAAUACCGCAUACGAUCUACGGAUGAAAGUGGGGGACCCGCAAGGGCCUCAUGCUCCUGGAGCGGCCGAUAUCUGAUUAGCUAGUUGGUGAGGUAAAGGCUCACCAAGGCAUCGAUCAGUAGCUGGUCUGAGAGGACGACCAGCCACACUGGGACUGAGACACGGCCCAGACUCCUACGGGAGGCAGCAGUGGGGAAUUUUGGACAAUGGGCGCAAGCCUGAUCCCGCAAUGCCGCGUGAGUGAAGAAGGCCUUCGGGGUUGUAAAGCUCUUUUUGUCAGGGAAG